CAGCCGCCGCGGGAAUACGAGGGGGGCAAGCGUUGUUCGGAAUUAUUGGGCGUAAAGGGCGCGUAGGCGGUUUGACAAGUCUGAUGUGAAAUCUCUGGGCUCAACCCAGAGUCUGCAUCGGAAACUGUCGAGCUUGAGUAUGGGAGAGGUGAGUGGAAUUUCCGGUGUAGCGGUGAAAUGCGUAGAUAUCGGAAGGAACACCUGUGGCGAAAGCGGCUCACUGGACCAUUACUGACGCUGAGGCGCGAAAGCUAGGGGAGCAAACAGGAUUAGAUACCCGAGUAGUCCCUGUCUCAUACAC
This 301-nucleotide ribosomal RNA is filed under the name uncultured bacterium. RNAcentral's name for it is "partial 16S ribosomal RNA". It matches the Rfam family "Bacterial small subunit ribosomal RNA", at positions 509 to 809 of the family's 1533-position model. The record is from RNAcentral.